Non-coding RNA from Arachis ipaensis, 433 nucleotides. NCBI's taxonomy places the organism in Eukaryota, Viridiplantae, Streptophyta, Magnoliopsida, Fabales, Fabaceae. The record is from RefSeq and is a predicted model, not a curated record.
ACCAAAAGAAAAAGGAAAGCAGCGCCAUUAAUCGAGGUUUGCAUCUGCUAAAAAUGUAAAAUAAAAUGAAGAAUCUCCUAUUAUUAUUAUAUAACCUGUUAUAGAUGCAUGUCAUAAAAACAAGUAAAUGGAAAUAUUUUAAGGGUAGAGGACAGAUAUAAAACUAAAUGCUCAAUAUUAAGAAAUGGAAACAUAACCAGAAAGGAAAUAAUACUAAAUAUUAAGGGUUAAGUUAAACUUAAAACUUGACAAGGAACAAUACUAGCUGUUGAGGACAAAUACAUCAAUUCUAUCACUUUCAUGUUUUGCAUGAAGCAUUCAUUAUCCGACAGAUAGAAAUAUUGUGCUAAAAGAUUUUAAAACAAAACUAUCAAAGUAUAGGAAGCUUUUAGAUUUCAGUUAAGCAGAGACCUGAGUCUCCAAAUUUCAAUUA